This 2618-nucleotide ribosomal RNA is filed under the name Candidatus Falkowbacteria bacterium RIFOXYC2_FULL_46_15. RNAcentral's name for it is "partial 23S ribosomal RNA". It matches the Rfam family "Bacterial large subunit ribosomal RNA", at positions 1 to 2534 of the family's 2925-position model. Lineage: Bacteria; Candidatus Falkowiibacteriota. The record is from RNAcentral.
AAAAUCUCAACAAGAGUAUAUGGUGAAUGCCUUGACAUAAGAAGACGAUGAAGGACGUAGCAGCCUGCGAAAAGCCUCGGUUAGGUGGCAAGCAACCUUUGACCCGGGGAUCUCCGAAUGGGGAAACCUUCCCGCAAGCAGUGCGGGAGUCCGCCGAUUGAACACAUAGAUCGGUGAGACGAAUACCCGGCGAACUGAAACAUCUUAGUAGCCGGAGGAAAAGAAAAAAAGUCCCGAGCAAUCGGGAACAUUCCCUUAGUAGUGGCGAGCGAAAAGGGAUCAGCCUAAACUCUAUAAACCACGCGAUCGGAUUUCGAGCGUAGCAAUACGCGAGGAUGAUGGCCGCUGAAGGUUCUAGGACCAUAUGUUUAUAGGGAGUUGCAAGAUUAUUGCGUUCACUUCCUAGACCAAGUGAGGUAGGGUCCACGAAUAAUAACUUCCCUAGUUGAAGCGAGCUGGAAAGCUCCGCCAGAGAAGGUGAAAGCCCUGUAAGGCGAAAGGGGUUAUUACUCUACGGCAACAAUCUUAAGUAUCGCGGGGCUCGAGAAACCCCGUGUGAAUCCGGGUCGACUAUGACCCAAGGCUAAAUACUUCUUAUGAUCGAUAGUGAACAAGUACCGUGAGGGAAAGGUGAAAAGCAGCCCGGUUAGGGCGGUGAAAUAGUACCUGAAACCAUAUACUUACAAAGAGUCGGAGCCUCGAGCAAUCGGGGUGACGGCGUGCCUAUUGAAGAAUGAGCCAACGAGUUUGUUCUAUGUGGCUUGACUAACUUCCGCUUGGAAAGGAGUCAAAGUGAAAGCGAGCCUUAAUAGGGCGUUUCUAUUUAUUUUGUUGGAACACUUGCUUUGUGUUCCGGCAAAAUACUUAGAAGGUCGCAUGGACAAGACCCGAAGCCGGGUGAUCUAACCAUGGCCAGGUUGAAGUGCCGAGAAAUCGGCGCGGAGGACCGAACCCACUAGCCGUUCAAUACUAGGGGAUGAGCCGUGGUUAGCGGUGAAAUUCCAAUCGAACUCGGCGAUAGCUGGUUCUCCUCGAAAUAGCUUUUGGGCUAGCCUCAAGCGCUGACUACCGGGGGUAGAGCACUGAAUGAGGUUGGGGCCGCAAGGUACCCUCCUUAACCAAACUCCGAAUACCGGUAGGUGUAGCUUGGGAGUCAGACUAUGGGCGCUAAGGUUCAUCAGUCAAAAGGGAAACAGCCCAGACCGCAGUCUAAGGUCCCUAAAUAUAUGCUAAGUGUAAAAGGUGGUGUCGCGACUGCGACAACUAGGAGGUUGGCUUAGAAGCAGNNNNNNNNNNNNNNNNNNNNNNNNNNNNNNNNNNNNNNNNNNNNNNNNNNNNNNNNNNNNNNNNNNNNNNNNNNNNNNNNNCGGUGGAGCGUAUGGAAGCGAGAAUGUUGGCAUAAGUAGCAAAAAGGCGGGUGAGAACCCCGCCCACCGCAAGCCUAAGGGUUCCUGGGCAACGCAAAUCGACCCAGGGUUAGUCGGUCCUAAGACGAGGCCCGUGUAGUGCGGGCGUAGCCGAUGGAUGAGCUGGUUAAUAUUCCAGCACUACUGUCAGUUUCCAAUGGGGAGACGCAGUUUCAAGGUUUGAGCGCGUUUAUGGUAUGCGCGUUGCUGAUCAUUCGGUUCGAUCCAGGCAAAUCCGGAUCACCAGAACUGAGCGGUUGGCAGAAGACAAAGCCUCCGGCCGAGUCAAUUCAAGCGGAGAAGCUGCCUAGAAAAACCUCUAGGGCUAAACUGGCGGUAACCGUACCGUAAACCGACACAGGUAGGCGAGGCGAGUAGCCUCAGGUGUACGAGAGAAUCUUCGUUAAGGAACUCGGCAAAACAGCGGCCGUAAUUUCGAGAUAAGGCCUGCCCGCCGCAAGGCGGGCCGCAGCUAAAGAGCCCAAGCGACUGUUUAUCAAAAACACAGCUCCCUGCUAACUCGUAAGAGGAUGUAUAGGGGGUGACGUCUGGCCAGUGUCCGAACGUUAAGGGGAUAGGUUAUCCUUCGGGAGAAGCCUUGAACUGAAGCGCGGAUGAACGCCGGCCGUAACUAUAACGGUCCUAAGGUAGCGAAAUUCCUUGUCGGGUAAGUUCCGACCUGCACGAAUGACGUAACGACUUGGGCACUGUCUCAACGAAGAACUCGGCGAAAUUGCAAGACCAGUAAAGAUGCUGGUUAACCAUAGUGGGACGAAAAGACCCCGUGAAGCUUUACUAUAACUUAAUAUUGGGUUAUGUAUAUGCAUGUUCAGAAUAGGUGGGAGUCCCGAGCAAUCGGGACAACAGUGAGAUACCACCCUUGUAUAUUCGUAAUUCUAACCUCUAGGCCCUUAUCGGGUCGGGGGACAGUAUUUGGCGGGUAGUUUGUCUGGGGCGGAUGCCUCCCAAAAGGUAACGGAGGCGUUUACAAAGGUCGGCUAUCCCGGAAUGGAAACCCGGGAGAUAGUGUAAAGGCACAAGCCGGCUUUACUGCAAGACCUACAAGUCGAGCAGUCGCGAAAGCGGAACUUAGUGAUCCGACCGUUCGAUAUAGGACGGCGGAAGCUCAUCGGAUAAAAGCUACUCCGGGGAUAACAGGCUAGUCACGCCCAAGCGUCCACAGCGACGGCGUGGUUCGGCACCUCGAUGUCG